RNAcentral lists this ribosomal RNA (169 nucleotides) under Cheilinus fasciatus (redbreast wrasse). Its description in RNAcentral is "partial 12S rRNA". The record is from RNAcentral. Lineage: Eukaryota; Metazoa; Chordata; Actinopteri; Labriformes; Labridae.
CGCCGCGGUUAUACGAGAGGCCCAAGUUAACAGGUUCCGGCAUAAAGUGUGGUUAAGGAUUAGACUUAACUAAAGCCGAAGGCUUUCAGAGCUGUUAUACGCAAAUGAAAAGCUGAAGCCCAACCACGAAAGUGGCUUUAAUAACCCUGACGCCACGAAAGCUACGGAA